AGAAAUGCUCGACGUCGUGCCUGUUGAAGAAUGAUCCGGCGAGUUAAUGGUGCAAGCAGGUUAAAUUUUCAGUGAAAGCUGGGGAUGGAGCCGUAGCGAAAGCGAGUCCGAAUAGGGCGAUUACGUUUGCAUCAUUAGACCCGAAACCAAGUGAUCUAUGCCUGGACAGAGUGAAGCCUCAGUAAAAUGAGGUGGAGGCUCGAAGUGUUACGUGUUGAAGAACGUCUACAUGAGCUGGGUAUAGGGGUGAAAGGCCAAUCGAACUUGGAAAUAGCUGGUUCUCCCCGAAAUAGUUUUAGGACUAGCCUCAUGCGUUUCUUGCGGGGGGUAGAGCUCUGGAUAAUGUAGGGCCUGCAACCCAGGUUCCGAAGUUAACCAAACUGCGAAUACCUGCAAGUAUAAGCAUGGGAGUCAGUGUACGAGGGCUAAGCUUCGUACGCGAAAGGGAAACAGCCCAGACCGUCGUCUAAGGUCCCCUAAAUCAAUGCUAAGUGGUAAAGGAUGUGGAUUUACCGAGACAGCUGG
RNAcentral lists this ribosomal RNA (525 nucleotides) under uncultured bacterium. RNAcentral's name for it is "bacterial LSU rRNA". It matches the Rfam family "Bacterial large subunit ribosomal RNA", at positions 585 to 1096 of the family's 2925-position model. The record is from RNAcentral.